This 2651-nucleotide long non-coding RNA is filed under the name Homo sapiens (human). RNAcentral's name for it is "HSALNT0228640". The record is from RNAcentral. Lineage: Eukaryota; Metazoa; Chordata; Mammalia; Primates; Hominidae.
GUGGUCCUGAAGUCAAGGUUUUAUGGGAUACUUAACCACUUUUUUAAUUUAGAAAAAGAGGAUAUGACUGUUUUAUUUUUGCAAAAAUUACCUAUAAUUCCAUCACCAAAACAAAAUGAGAAAUAUAGACACUUGUGUUUUUCUUAUUCCUUUCUAUUUCUGUGUGUGUUGACAUGCCUUCGUAUAGGGUACUUAUGGUAUUAAUAUUUCUUUUAAUUUUGUCAUUAUAAUUUUUUUUUUGAGAUAGAGUGUUGCUCUCUUGCUCCUGCUGGAGUAUAGUGGUAUGAUCUUGGCUCACUGCACCCACUGCCUCCCAGAUUCAAGAGAUUCUCCUGUCUCAGCCUCCCAAGUAGUUGGGAUUACAGGCAUGCACCACCACGCCUGGCUAAUUUUUGUAUUUUUAGUAGAGAUGGGGUUUCACCACAUUGGCUAGGCUGGUCUUGAACUCUUGACCUUAAGUGAUCCACCUGCCUCAGCCUCCAAAAGUGCUGGGAUUACAGGCGUGAGCCACUGCACCGGGCCUGCAGUUAUAUUUUAAUAUCAUAUUGAAAUGUUUCCAAUUUCACUACAUACAUUGUCUUCAAAAUGAUCACUUAGUGACUGUAAAUAUUCUUAUGUGUGUGACAUCAUUUCUUAUAAGGAAGAUGCUUCUUCUAAGUCGCUUUUGUUUUGUUUUUCUACCACCCAAGUAAGACAUUAUAUAAAAUUUAGAAAAUACAGAGAAAGGAAUAGAAGAAAAUUAAGAUCAGUGGUAAUCCCACUAUCCAGAAAUAUCACUUCUUAUGUUUUCUUUCAGUUUUUUCUAUAUUCCUAGAACAAAAAGAGGAUCAUACUACAAGUACUUCCCAAAUAGCUUUACUUUUUGUGAUUGUAAAAAAACAUGUAUCAAGGGCCAUGAGAGAACUUCUAGGGGAGAUAGUAAUGUUGCAUAUCUUAAGAGUGACCUGGAUUACACAAAUAUGUGCAUUUGCCAAAACUUAGAAAUGUGGGCUUAGGAUGUGUGCAUUUCAUUGUAAGAUUUAUAUCAAAGGAAAAAUAUAUAAACAAAUACUGAACACUAGGUAAUAAGAAGCACGCCAAAGUAUUUAUGAGAAAGUGUGUAGAUGCUUAAAAUUAAUUUUGAAUUUUUUUUAAAAAAAAGAUAGAUUAAAGGAAGGAUAGAGGGAUGACCAGGUAUGUACUAAAACAAAUAAAGAGCUAACGGUAAAAUCUAGAAGGUGAGUAUACAAAUGUUCACUGUACAAUGUCUUCCAUGUUUCUGUAUGUUUGAUAAUAAUGAAACAUUAUUAUGUUUCAUAAUAAUGAAAUAAUGAAUGAGCAAGUAGAUACUAUUACCGCCUGCCACAUACUCUUUCUCUGCACAGCUUGCACACUUCAUUUGAUACAUGGCCAUCUGUCAGAUUGUGAACCACAAAAAUCUGAGACAGGUCUCAGUUAAUUUAGAAAGUUUAUUUUGCCAAGGUUGAGGACGCAUGCCUGUGACACAGCCUCAGGAGGCGCUGACAACAAACAUGCGCCCAAGGUGGCCAGAGCACGGUUUUAUACAUUUUAGUGAGAUAUGAGACAUCAAUCAACGUAUGUGAGGUGAACAUUGGUGCCAUCUGGAAAGGUGGGACAACUUGAAGUGGGGAGGGGACUUCCAAGUCAUAGGUAGAUAAGAGAGAAAUGGUUGCAUUCUUUUGAGUUUUCUGAUUAGCCUCUCCAAAAGAGGCAAUCAGAUAUGAAUUCAUCUCAGUGAGCAGAGGGGUGACUUUAAUAGAAUGGGAGGCAGGUUUGCCCUAAGUGAUUCCCUGCUUGACUUUUCCUUUUAGCUUGAUGAUUUUGGGGGCCCAAGAUAUGCUCCUUUCACAAGAUGAACCACAGGGAGGCUCUGUCUCUGUAUCAAUCCAUUAGUCAGAUUGUCAUGCAUUCAUUGAGUUUUUGGUUUGGAUGAUUUUUGCUUAUUUUAUUGUCAUAGUAAAAUGCACAUAACACAAAAUUUACCAUUUUGACCAUUUGUAAUUGUUCAAAUCAGUGGUGUUAAGUACAUUCACAUUGUUGGGCAACCAUCACCUCCCUCCAUCUCCAGGACGUUUUUCACAUUCCCAAACUAACUGUUCUCAUUAAACAGUACCUCCCCCAAAGCCCCUUCUCCACCCCUACCCUGGAAAUAACCAUUCUACUUUCUGUCACCAUAAAUUAGACUGCCCUGGGUACUGCAUGUAAGAGGAAUCAUACAGUAUUUGUCUUCUUGUGACUGGCUUAUUUUACUUAGCAUAAUGUCUUCGGCGUUCAUCCAUGUUGUAGCACGUGUCAGAAUUUCCUUUCUUAAGGCUGAAUAUAUUCCAUUUCAUGUAUACACCACGUUUUGUUUAUCCAUUCAUCUGUCAGUGGAUCCUUGAGUUAUUUGCACCUUUUGGCUAUUGCGAAUAAAGCUGCUAUGAACAUGGGUGUACAAAUACUGUCUUUUGAGUCUCUGCUAUUUCUGGUGUAUAUACUCAGAAGUGAAAAUCUGGAUCAUAUGUUAAUGCUAUGUUUAAUUUUUUGAGGAACUGCUGUAAUGUUUUCCAUAGAGGCUGCAACAUUGUACCUUCCCACCAGCGAUACACAGAAGUUCUGAUUCCUCCACAUCCUCACCAGUGCUUGUAUUCUCUCUGUAUGUUUUACUGAUA